This 880-nucleotide long non-coding RNA is filed under the name Salmo salar (Atlantic salmon). RNAcentral's name for it is "lncRNA (ENSSSAG00000083561.1)". The record is from RNAcentral. Lineage: Eukaryota; Metazoa; Chordata; Actinopteri; Salmoniformes; Salmonidae.
GGCAGAACAACAGAUUUGUACCUUGUCAACUCAGGGAUUUGAGCUUGCAACCUUUCGGUUAUUAAUCCAAUUCUCUAACCACUAGGCUACGCUGCCGCCCCGGCCAGAGGAAGAGCUGUCAUUCAUUGAAGAGGAACCCUGUCUGGAUGGAUGGUGGAAGUUUGGCACCAGCUGUUAUUAUGUCUCCUCCAGGAUGGAAACAGCUGGGGGCAGUCAGAGAAAGUGCAGAACAAUGUGUGCUGCCUUGGUUAUUAUAAACAGCAGAGAAGAACAGCUAUUGGAUGGAAGGGGAACCAAAUAACUUGAAUGACAAGGUGGCUUGUGUUGAGAUCUCACAGACGGCAUCAGACCCAUUGAAGAAUUGGAAGGAUGGACCAUGUGCUCCUCGAAAAUACUGUGUGUGUGAAAAACCAUUCACACUGUAGUCCAAUUGCAAUAGCAAAUGUAAUUCCCUAUCUUAUAGAGUUGAACUGGUUUUCACUGUGUUAGGCUGAACCUCUUUUUGUUUCUAUUUGUAACUACAUUGAAAGACGUAUUUGAUGUCUUUAAAGAGACCAUGUCUAUGUGGAGUUUGUCCACCAUUCAUCAGGCCCAGGGGAGUGGAACUGUGGAUUCAUAGUCUCUAACUGUGGUUUACAUAUUAUUAUUUUUUACCAUAAUUUACUAUUAUGUUUUUUAAAUGUACCAUUGUGGUGUGCAUAUAAAAAAAUAUCAUUGAAGUUUUUACAGUUAUCAACCCAUUUCAAAUGCAGCAGUGUUCUAUAUUUGUGUCCAUUCUGUUCCAUAUGUAUCAUGUGUUCAUUCUACUGACUAAAUACAUCUAUAUACUGUGAUCCAGAUAUACUGUAUUACUAAGUGUUGUAAUGUACUAAUAGUAACU